This 685-nucleotide ribosomal RNA is filed under the name uncultured bacterium. Its description in RNAcentral is "bacterial SSU rRNA". It matches the Rfam family "Bacterial small subunit ribosomal RNA", at positions 95 to 775 of the family's 1533-position model. The record is from RNAcentral.
GUGGCGAAAGGGUGAGUAAGGCGACGGCAACCAACCCCGCGGAGGGGGACAGCCGAGGGAAACCUCGGGUAAUCCCCCAUGACGCCUCGGUGAGGGCAUCCUCAUCAGGCCAAAGGUGCGAGUCCGCCGCGGGACGGGCCGUUGUGGUAUCAGCUAGAUGGUGGGGUCACGGCCCACCAUGGCGAUGACGCCUACCGGGCGUGCGAGCGUGGCCCGGCACACUGGGACUGAGACACUGCCCAGACACCUACGGGUGGCUGCAGUCGAGAAUCUUCGGCAAUGGGCGACAGCCUGACCGAGCGACGCCGCGUGGAGGACGAAGGCCUUCGGGUUGUAAACUCCUGUCGAGGGGGAACAAGGGGUGGUGAAGAAUCAUCCUUGAGUGAUCCCUGGAGGAAGCACGGGCUAAGUUCGUGCCAGCAGCCGCGGUAAGACGAACCGUGCGAACGUUAUUCGGAAUCACUGGGCUUAAAGCGCGUGUAGGCGGAUGGCCGCGUCGGUCGUUGAAAGUCCCCGGCUCAACCGGGGAAUGGGCGCCGAUACGGGCCGUCUGGAGGGGCGUAGGGGGAGCUGGAACUCACGGUGGAGCGGUGAAAUGCGUUGAGAUCGUGAGGAACGCCCGUGGCGAAAGCGAGCUCCUGGACGCCUUCUGACGCUGAGACGCGAAAGCCAGGGGAGCGAACGG